RNAcentral lists this long non-coding RNA (288 nucleotides) under Ananas comosus (pineapple). Its description in RNAcentral is "long non-coding RNA (ACOM_LNC018272)". Lineage: Eukaryota; Viridiplantae; Streptophyta; Magnoliopsida; Poales; Bromeliaceae. The record is from RNAcentral.
GUAGAAUUUUAAUUUUAAUUUUAAUUUUUUAUUUCAAUUUUGAAUUAAUUUUGUUUUCGAAAUUGAGUUUUAAUUUAAGCUUUGAUAUUGAGAUUGAAUUUAAUUUCAAUAGAGUUUGAAUUUAAAUUCGUUGUUUGAUUUAGAUUUGCAUUUAGGUUUGAAUUUCAGUUUGCAUUUUGGAUUUAAGUUUAAUUUAAAUUCAAAUUAGUUUGAAUUUAGUUUUAGAUUUGAAAUUCAUAAUUAAAUUUGGAUUUGAAUUUUAAUUAUAAAUUUGGAUUCUGAAUUUUG